AUUGAACGCUGGCGGCAUGCCUUACACAUGCAAGUCGAACGGUAACAGGUUAAGCUGACUCGUGGCGAACGGGUGAGUAAUGUAUCGGAACGUGCCCAGUCGUGGGGGAUAACUGCUCGAAAGAGCAGCUAAUACCGCAUACGACCUGAGGGUGAAAGCGGGGGAGCGCAAGACCUCGCGCGAUUGGAGCGUCCGAGAUCAGAUUAGGUAGUUGGUGAGGUAAAGGCUCACCAAGCCGACGAUCUGUAGCUGGUCUGAGAGGACGACCAGCCACACUGGAACUGAGACACGGCCCAGACUCCUACGGGAGGCAGCAGUGGGGAAUUUUGCACAAUGGGCGCAAGCCUGACCCAGCAAUGCCGCGUGAGGGAAGAAGGCCUUCGGGUUGUAAACCGCUUUUGUUAGGGAAGAAAAGGUUCUGGCUAAUACCUGGGACUCAUGACGGUACCUGAACAAUAAGCACCGGCUAACUACGUG
RNAcentral lists this ribosomal RNA (477 nucleotides) under uncultured bacterium. Its description in RNAcentral is "partial 16S ribosomal RNA". It matches the Rfam family "Bacterial small subunit ribosomal RNA", at positions 30 to 507 of the family's 1533-position model. The record is from RNAcentral.